This 425-nucleotide ribosomal RNA is filed under the name uncultured bacterium. RNAcentral's name for it is "partial 16S ribosomal RNA". It matches the Rfam family "Bacterial small subunit ribosomal RNA", at positions 354 to 796 of the family's 1533-position model. The record is from RNAcentral.
GUGGGGAAUCUUGCGCAAUGGGCGAAAGCCUGACGCAGCCAUGCCGCGUGAAUGAUGAAGGUCUUAGGAUUGUAAAAUUCUUUCACCGGGGACGAUAAUGACGGUACCCGGAGAAGAAGCUCCGGCUAACUUCGUGCCAGCAGCCGCGGUAAUACGAAGGGGGCUAGCGUUGCUCGGAAUUACUGGGCGUAAAGGGCGCGUAGGCGGACAGCUUAGUCAGAGGUGAAAGCCCAGGGCUCAACCUUGGAAUUGCCUUUGAUACUGGCUGUCUUGAGUUUGGGAGAGGUGAGUGGAACUCCGAGUGUAGAGGUGAAAUUCGUAGAUAUUGACAGGAACACCAGUGGCGCAAGCGGCUAUCUGGACCGAUAUUGACGCUGAGGCACGAAAGCGUGGGGAGCAAACAGGAUUAGAAACCCGAGUAGUCC